UUAUGAAAUAAUGGGAAGGGGGGCCUUAAUGAGCAGAAAGCAUCCUCAGCUGGAGAUAAAUAUAUGCAAAUGAGAUGCACAAACAAAGGAGCCUGGACAGAGAAAUAUCUGCAAUUCUAGCAAAAUGCUGCCUGCAGCUCGAAGAUGAACAGCUUUGAUAAAAUGCGAGAAAUAUUCCUCAUGUGGGCGGAGGACUCAGGCACACGGGACCUGCAACAAGCAACGAGGCUAAAAAAUAGUUAAAAUGAAUCAACAUUUAUCUGGAAUCUACAGUCUUGACCUAAAAAAAAAAAAAUCAUUUAUCUUCCGUGUCCUGUGAUGUUUUGAGGAUUCUGGCAAAUAUGGCAGUUAAACAAACUUCUCUCAUAAUCUAAAUACUGUCUGUUCAAGAGAGGCUUCCAAUGUUUAUAGCCCAUAAGUAAAGAAAAAAAAAAAAAAAAAAAAACUGGUAUUUCACCAAGAACAGUGCUCUUGAAAAUGUCUCUGAACAAAGUGUUCAAGCAAAACUUUGACCGCAGAUAUUUUCAAUUCCUCAUUCUUCCUCUGAUUUUUUUUUUCAAUGAGGUAUUCUGAUAGUCUCUCCUUUCACUCCUUUUUCUUGAAAGUAAUGAAUGCAUUUCCAAAAAAUUAACGCCUGACUAGUGACCUGGUCAUACAAACUUCCUUGAGAAACAGUUGAGAAGAAAACAUCACAUUUUUAUGAACCCCGUCUCCUGCCAGGGGCCCCGGAGGAGGAACACCAUUAUGCAUUGUUAUCAGCGUGGUGUAAUUUGACUGUUGACAAAGUAUCCGUGGCAGUGAGAAUGAGCGCAGUUAGAAGUGUGGCGGAUUGUAAUCAAGAAGAUGCUUAGCUGUGCAACACUGCAUCUUGAGCAGAUUUGAAUCAACAUUGCCUUAAGGGGACACACACACAUACCAAAAGGAACAAAAAAAAAAAAUCCAUUAAUUUUUAGAGGGAAAAUUAGAGUGGCACUUGAUGAAGUGAAAUUUGACAUGCGUUAAUUGCUCUGCAGCUCCCCUAAUUAGAGAUUUUCAA
RNAcentral lists this long non-coding RNA (1036 nucleotides) under Sus scrofa (pig). Its description in RNAcentral is "lncRNA (ENSSSCG00025041859.1)". The record is from RNAcentral. Lineage: Eukaryota; Metazoa; Chordata; Mammalia; Artiodactyla; Suidae.